Molecule: ribosomal RNA, 379 nt
Filed under: Bacillus tequilensis
Lineage: Bacteria; Bacillati; Bacillota; Bacilli; Caryophanales; Bacillaceae
Description: bacterial SSU rRNA
Rfam family: Bacterial small subunit ribosomal RNA
Source: RNAcentral
ACGUUCCCCUUCGGGGGCAGAGUGACAGGUGGUGCAUGGUUGUCGUCAGCUCGUGUAGGGAGAUGUUGGGUUAAGUCCCGCAACGAGCGCAACCCUUGAUCUUAGUUGCCAGCAUUCAGUUGGGCACUCUAAGGUGACUGCCGGUGACAAACCGGAGGAAGGUGGGGAUGACGUCAAAUCAUCAUGCCCCUUAUGACCUGGGCUACACACGUGCUACAAUGGACAGAACAAAGGGCAGCGAAACCGCGAGGUUAAGCCAAUCCCACAAAUCUGUUCUCAGUUCGGAUCGCAGUCUGCAACUCGACUGCGUGAAGCUGGAAUCGCUAGUAAUCGCGGAUCAGCAUGCCGCGGUGAAUACGUUCCCGGGUCUUGUACACAC